CGAUGGGCCGACGUCGCAUGCUCCCGGCCGCCAUGGUUAGAGUUUGAUCAUGGCUCAGAUUGAACGCUGGCGGAAUGCUUUACACAUGCAAGUCGAGCGGCAGCACGGGGGCAACCCUGGUGGCGAGCGGCGAACGGGUGAGUAACACAUCGGAACAUGCCCAGUCGUGGGGGAUAACACUUCGAAAGAAGUGCUAAUACCGCAUACGUCCUGAGGGAGAAAGCGGGGGAUCGCAAGACCUCGCGCGAUUGGAGUGGCCGAUGUCAGAUUAGCUAGUUGGUGGGGUAAAGGCCUACCAAGGCGACGAUCUGUAGCUGGUCUGAGAGGACGACCAGCCACACUGGGACUGAGACACGGCCCAGACUCCUACGGGAGGCAGCAGUGGGGAAUUUUGGACAAUGGGGGCAACCCUGAUCCAGCCAUUCCGCGUGAGUGAAGAAGGCCUUCGGGUUGUAAAGCUCUUUCAGCAGGAACGAAACGGCGAGCUCUAACAUAGCUCGUUAAUGACGGUACCUGAAGAAGAAGCACCGGCUAACUACGUGCCAGCAGCCGCGGUAAUACGUAGGGUGCGAGCGUUAAUCGGAAUUACUGGGCGUAAAGCGUGCGCAGGCGGUUGUGUAAGACAGGUGUGAAAUCCCCGGGCUUAACCUGGGAACUGCGCUUGUGACUGCACGGCUAGAGUAUGGCAGAGGGGGGGUGGAAUUCCACGUGUAGCAGUGAAAUGCGUAGAGAUGUGGAGGAACACCGAUGGCGAAGGCAGCCCCCUUGGCCAAUACUGACGCUCAUGCAC
This 790-nucleotide ribosomal RNA is filed under the name uncultured Methyloversatilis sp. RNAcentral's name for it is "partial 16S ribosomal RNA". It matches the Rfam family "Bacterial small subunit ribosomal RNA", at positions 1 to 754 of the family's 1533-position model. Lineage: Bacteria; Pseudomonadati; Pseudomonadota; Betaproteobacteria; Nitrosomonadales; Sterolibacteriaceae. The record is from RNAcentral.